Long non-coding RNA from Hyaena hyaena (striped hyena), 290 nucleotides. RefSeq lists it as uncharacterized. Lineage: Eukaryota; Metazoa; Chordata; Mammalia; Carnivora; Hyaenidae. The record is from RefSeq and is a predicted model, not a curated record. The transcript has 3 exons.
UUACGCAACAGGCAAAAUCUUGUAAGACAAUAUUCAAAAUAUCCAGGAUAUAAUCCAAAGUUAUUUGGAAAAUGAAGAACAAGACCAUGUCAACGCACUUGAGAAAAGACCACCAAUAUGUUCUCCACUGAGAUGACAUAGAUGGUUUAGAAGUUCCUAUUGUAAGAGGAUGUCUGGGUGACUUUGUCAGACUCUCAGCUCCUAGAUGGUAAAGAAAAUGCCUAAAUCGGGGUGCCUGGGUGGCUCAGGCGUCCGACUUCGGCUCAGGUCAUGAUCUUGCAGUUGGAGAG